GUGGGGAAUUUUGGACAAUGGGCGCAAGCCUGAUCCAGCAAUGUCGCGUGCAGGAAGAAGGCCUUCGGGUUGUAAACUGCUUUUGUACGGAACGAAAAGGCUCUUGCUAAUACCUGGAGCUCAUGACGGUACCGUAAGAAUAAGCACCGGCUAACUACGUGCCAGCAGCCGCGGUAAUACGUAGGGUGCGAGCGUUAAUCGGAAUUACUGGGUGUAAAGCGUGCGCAGGCGGUGCUGUAAGACAGGCGUGAAAUCCCCGGGCUCAACCUGUGAAUUGCGCUUGUGACUGCAGCGCUGGAGUGCGGCAGAGGGGGAUGGAAUUCCGCGUGUAGCAGUGAAAUGCGUAGAUAUGCGGAGGAACACCAGUGGCGAAGGCGGCUCACUGGCUCGAUACUGACGCUGAGGUGCGAAAGCGUGGGGAGCAAACAGGAUUAGAUACCCGAGUAGUCC
RNAcentral lists this ribosomal RNA (450 nucleotides) under uncultured bacterium. Its description in RNAcentral is "partial 16S ribosomal RNA". It matches the Rfam family "Bacterial small subunit ribosomal RNA", at positions 354 to 796 of the family's 1533-position model. The record is from RNAcentral.